AUUGAACGCUGGCGGCAUGCCUUACACAUGCAAGUCGAACGGCAGCACGGGAGCAAUCCUGGUGGCGAGUGGCGAACGGGUGAGUAAUAUAUCGGAACGUGCCCAGUCGUGGGGAUAACGUAGCGAAAGCUACGCUAAUACCGCAUACGAUCUAUGGAUGAAAGCGGGGGAUCGCAAGACCUCGCGCGAUUGGAGCGGCCGAUAUCAGAUUAGGUAGUUGGUGAGGUAAAGGCUCACCAAGCCGACGAUCUGUAGCUGGUCUGAGAGGACGACCAGCCACACUGGGACUGAGACACGGCCCAGACUCCUACGGGAGCAGCAGUGGGGAAUUUUGGGACAAUGGGCGCAAGCCUGAUCCAGCAAUGCCGCGUGCAGGAUGAA
Molecule: ribosomal RNA, 381 nt
Filed under: uncultured bacterium
Lineage: Bacteria
Description: bacterial SSU rRNA
Rfam family: Bacterial small subunit ribosomal RNA
Source: RNAcentral